CAAGCAGGUCCUCCCACCUUGCGCUUCCAAAGUGCUGUGAUUCCAGGAUGCAUCUCUCAUGGUUGAAGAAGUGGUGGAGGAUGGCAUAGGAGAGAGUGCCUGAGGAUCCUUGCCUGGAACAAGUUAUGGAAAGAAAAUCUUUCAGCUUGGGCUCUAGGAAAAGAGCCUUUUAUCCCAUCUUGUCUUCUAGUCCAUUUUGAAUCAAGACUCGUUGAGGACUUCUUUGAGAAGAAUCUGUGUUGAAGAAGGAAAAAGAAACACUGUUUGAGAGAAGGCAAACAGGCAAAAAGGAUGAUAGAAGCAUGCAUUUUUGUUGUAUAUAUAUCUCUAAGAGACCUUCCUAGAGUGAAAGUUGAGAACUGAAAAGGGAGUAAAUUAAGGAAUGACUGAAUUUUGUGGAUCUUGAUGGAAAAACGCUGGCCUUUUUUUAAUGUGGUAAAACAGCUGGUGCUUCAGUCCUAGGAAUUAUGUCUCUGCCAUGGGCAGUUAUCAUAAACUCUUCUCACAAUCAGAA
Long non-coding RNA from Cebus imitator (Panamanian white-faced capuchin), 514 nucleotides. RefSeq lists it as uncharacterized. The record is from RefSeq and is a predicted model, not a curated record. The transcript has 3 exons. Lineage: Eukaryota; Metazoa; Chordata; Mammalia; Primates; Cebidae.